GACCCUGAGAUCAUGACCUGAGCCAAAGGCAGCAGUUUAACCCACUGAGCCACCCAGGCGCCCCCACAUUUUAUUUUUUUUAUUAACUUUUCAUUGAAGUACACAAAUCAUAAAGGGGUCCCCCAGGUACCCCUACCAAGGCCAUUUUAAAUACAGAUAAAUAAAUGAAUAGAGUUUUCUCUUGACUGCAUUUUAUUUUAUUGAUGACAUCCUAAAUACAUAUUCUAAUUUUAUAGUUUUUAUUUAACAUAAUUUAAUCUUUCAUAUAUAUGAAAGCUUUUUUAGUUCUCAUUAUAAAAAGUUAUCUACAGAGCUUGUAUACUACUGAGAGCUUGAAAAUAGAAUCUCUGUAAGGGUACUUAAUUUCUUCAAUGUUAUCAUGUAAAUUAAUGUAUUCUUUUCAAAGCUUUGUCUACCAUACUCUCUUUAUUGAUGGAAUCACUUACCUAUGUGCUACAGACAAUGCCUUGGAUACCAUAACACCAUCUGCAUUUCUUAAAAACGUUAGUGAUACUUUUCUGAGAAAUCCUUUGAUGUCGCAAGAACAUUUUUCUCCUUCAAAUGCAGUUGCUGCAGAUUUUCAACAAGUAUUAGGAAAGUAUAUGGUAUGUAACCUCCAACUGUACUCCUUUUUUUUUUUAAGAUUUUAUUUAUUUAUUUGGCAGAAAUUACAAGUAGGCAGAGAGGCAGGCAGAGAAAGAGGGGGACGCAGGCUCCCCGCUGAGCAGAGAGCCCGAUGCAGGGCUCGAUCCCAGGACCCUGAGAUCAUGACCUGAGCCGAAGGUAGAGGCUUCACCCACUGAGCCACCCAGGCACCCCUCCAGCUGUACUCAACAUUGUAUGAAAGCUGACGGAACAGUUUGGAAUUAGGAGAUAAGAGCUGUAAAGAUGAGUGAGAAUUGGGAAUUUCUAUCUUUAUAUAAUGAUAAAGAAUGACAUCCUUGAUAUAUGGAUAAGUGGAUAAAGCAAGAGAGAGAAAGUUUGUAUGGUAUACUAUUAUUUGUUUACCAUUCUUAUUUGCAACCAUUUAAGAAAGAGAGAAUAAAUACAAAUAAGUGUUUUUGUUUGGUUAUAGU
This 1076-nucleotide long non-coding RNA is filed under the name Neogale vison (American mink). RNAcentral's name for it is "Neovison vison (American mink) lncRNA (ENSNVIG00000004835.1)". The record is from RNAcentral. Lineage: Eukaryota; Metazoa; Chordata; Mammalia; Carnivora; Mustelidae.